RNAcentral lists this ribosomal RNA (1092 nucleotides) under Camposporium cambrense. RNAcentral's name for it is "SSU rRNA". It matches the Rfam family "Eukaryotic small subunit ribosomal RNA", at positions 29 to 1133 of the family's 1831-position model. The record is from RNAcentral. Lineage: Eukaryota; Fungi; Ascomycota; Dothideomycetes; Pleosporales; Melanommataceae.
UUUUUUUUUCUAAGUUAGCCUGCAUGUCUAAGUAUAAGCAAUUAUACCGUGAAACUGCGAAUGGCUCAUUAAAUCAGUUAUCGUUUAUUUGAUAGUACCUUACCACUUGGAUAACCGUGGUAAUUCUAGAGCUAAUACAUGCUAAAAACCCCGACUUCGGAAGGGGUGUGUGUUAUUAGAUAAAAAACCAAUGCCCUUCGGGGCUCUUUGGUGAUUCAUGAUAACCUAACGGAUCGCAUGGCCUUGCGCCGGCGACGGUUCAUUCAAAUUUCUGCCCUAUCAACUUUCGAUGGUAAGGUAUUGGCUUACCAUGGUUUCAACGGGUAACGGGGAAUUAGGGUUCGAUUCCGGAGAGGGAGCCUGAGAAACGGCUACCACAUCCAAGGAAGGCAGCAGGCGCGCAAAUUACCCAAUCCCGACACGGGGAGGUAGUGACAAUAAAUACUGAUAUAGGGCUCUUUUGGGUCUUGUAAUUGGAAUGAGUACAAUUUAAACCCCUUAACGAGGAACAAUUGGAGGGCAAGUCUGGUGCCAGCAGCCGCGGUAAUUCCAGCUCCAAUAGCGUAUAUUAAAGUUGUUGCAGUUAAAAAGCUCGUAGUUGAAACUUGGGUCUGGCUAGCGGGUCCGCCUCACCGCGUGCACUUGUCCGGCUGGACCUUUCCUUCUGGAGAACCUCAUGCCCUUCACUGGGUGUGUUGGGGAACCAGGACUUUUACUUUGAAAAAAUUAGAGUGUUCAAAGCAGGCCUUUGCUCGAAUACGUUAGCAUGGAAUAAUAGAAUAGGACGUGCGGUCCUAUUUUGUUGGUUUCUAGGAUCGCCGUAAUGAUUAAUAGGGAUAGUCGGGGGCAUCAGUAUUCAAUUGUCAGAGGUGAAAUUCUUGGAUUUAUUGAAGACUAACUACUGCGAAAGCAUUUGCCAAGGAUGUUUUCAUUAAUCAGUGAACGAAAGUUAGGGGAUCGAAGACGAUCAGAUACCGUCGUAGUCUUAACCGUAAACUAUGCCGACUAGGGAUCGGGCGAUGUUUCUAUCUUGACUCGCUCGGCACCUUACGAGAAAUCAAAGUUUUUGGGUUCUGGGGGGAAUAUGGCCCA